Molecule: RNA transcript, 2173 nt
Organism: Mobula hypostoma (lesser devil ray)
Lineage: Eukaryota; Metazoa; Chordata; Chondrichthyes; Myliobatiformes; Myliobatidae
Gene: sp9
Gene name: sp9 transcription factor
Exons: 3
Source: RefSeq, a predicted model, not a curated record
UCACUACAAUUAGGUCGAGUAGUCCGGAGAACAAGGCAGUGAGUGAGUAGACAUCAUCUUCAACUGUGACAGCUUAGUUCCGUUAAUUUAAGCACAGUAAAGGGAAGAAAGAAGCCGUCAUGGCAACUUCAAUACUUGGGGAAGAACCCAGAUUUGGAACCACUCCGUUGGCAAUGUUGGCCGCAACUUGUAAUAAGAUUGGCAAUACAAGCCCAUUAACAACUUUGCCAGAAUCCAGUGCAUUUGGGAAGGGCGGAUUUCAUCCAUGGAAACGGUCUGUCUCCAACUGUAAUCUGGGGUCGGGCCUGUCGGGAUUCAGCGUGGCCAACAGUCGAGCUUCAGGCGGUAUAAGCAACAGUUUCUCGGUGAGCAGCGGUUCCGGGAACAGCGCCUUCUGUUUGGCUUCCACUUCUCCAACGUCUUCUGCCUUCAGCACUGAAUACAACCUCUUCUCCAACUCCGUCUCGGCGAGUGUCAACACGCAAGACACCGGACAAUCGGCUUUCAUAUCCAAAGUCCACUCUUCCGCUGACACUCUUCAGGGAAUGUACCCGAGGGUCGGCAUGGCUCAUCCUUAUGAAUCCUGGUACAAAUCCGGGUUCCACACGAGCAUUUCUGGCGAGGUUGGCAGCGGGGCGUCCUCCUGGUGGGACGUGCACACUAACCCCAGCUGGCUGGAAGUUCAGAAUCCAAAUGGGGGCCUCCAGCCCACCCUGCACUCCGGGAGCGCACAGGCUUCACUGCACACACAGCUUAGUACUUACAACGCGGAUUUCUCAACUCUGAGCCACUCCGCCUUCAGUUCCACCGGGAUCGGCUCCACCGCCUCUCACCUGUUGUCCACGGGGCAGCACCUCCUCGCUCAAGAUGGCUUCAAACCUAUGAUUCCGUCCUAUACGGAUUCCACCUCUGCUGCAAUCACGGCGAACUCGAUGAUUUCAGGCCCGUCGGGACUAGGCAGUUCAGCCAGGUCCUCACGGCGAUAUUCCGGCAGAGCAACCUGCGACUGCCCCAACUGCCAGGAGGCCGAGCGCCUUGGACCUGCGGGAGCCAGCCUUCGGAGGAAAGGCCUCCACAGCUGCCACAUUCCAGGAUGCGGUAAGGUCUACGGCAAGACCUCUCACCUCAAGGCACACUUACGAUGGCACACUGGGGAGAGGCCCUUCGUUUGUAACUGGUUGUUCUGCGGCAAACGCUUCACCCGAUCGGACGAGUUGCAGAGACAUUUGAGAACCCAUACGGGAGAGAAGCGCUUCGCCUGUCCGGUCUGCAACAAACGCUUUAUGAGAAGUGAUCACCUCAGUAAACACAUCAAAACACACAGCGGCGGCGGAGGCAAAAAGGGCAGCGAUAGUGAUACCGACACCAGCAACUUGGAGACCCCCAGAUCAGAAUCGCCAGAUAUCCUCAUGGAGGCUGUGCAUUCCAAUAGAGCAAUCAAAACAGCCACUCCGGUACAAAAUGAUUCCUAAAUCUAAUACCCAAAACAGGAACUUAUUAAAAAUUUGUGUCCAGUACAGUAUGACUAUUAAGUACUUGGAGUUCCAAGCCCUGCACUCUCACGGAAGUUACAUCUUAAAAGGAGCGAAGCCACGAAAUAUUAACAGGAAAUCUUCCAAACUAAAUCGAAAGAUAAGAAAACAUAUCGACAAUGCUACCGGAGGGAAAUCGACAGACCUGCUUCCAAACAUCAAAUAAUAUGAAUUGCUUAUUAGGCUGUUAAUAGAUUUAGCCAUAUUGAAAUAUAUAAAUUAAGAACAUUAUCGUGGUGCUAGUAACCGUUUUUUACAAGACGCUUGAAUGUACAUGCCUGACGUCCAAAGCGAUUACAAUACUGUGAAAACGGGGGCACAGCUGAGUUCUCUGUGGAAUACGAGAACAGUUAAUACCCCGUAGCAAACAUUUCAUGCCUUAAUGAAAAGCUUGUUAAAUGUUAGUAAUUUUGACUCGGAACACACAGCAGCCCCCAGUGCCUUGUAUUCCCGAUUAGAGAUUCAUGUUUUAUCAAAUAUCCAAUUAAUCUCUCAGACAUCAUUUGUUCCCCUGAACUUUAUCCGAGCUUGUCCAUGUAAAACUCCUGAGAUUUCUAGCGACAAAGCGCCAUUGAAGAUCCAUUUUAAUUUUUCAAAUUAACUGGACAUAUUUGCAUGUCAAACGAAUAAAAAAAAACGAA